AGUUCUUACUUGAAUAAGAUCUAUUCUAUAGGCUCGUACCUUUGUAUCCUUAAGCACUAAGGAGACAGGAACUCAAGUCUGGUGGAUGAAUAGAGGCCAUGCGAUUGGAGCGUGAUUAAUGGCUUGAUGGUUCCAUAGAAUCACCUGAGUUGAAGAGGAUCAUUCUCGGUCAGCAAGCUGGCUAAGAUGGUCGUAUAGCUGUUGACAGACU
Small nucleolar RNA from Hevea brasiliensis (rubber tree), 211 nucleotides. RefSeq annotates it as small nucleolar RNA U3. The record is from RefSeq and is a predicted model, not a curated record. The transcript has a single exon. Lineage: Eukaryota; Viridiplantae; Streptophyta; Magnoliopsida; Malpighiales; Euphorbiaceae.